RNAcentral lists this long non-coding RNA (9456 nucleotides) under Brassica napus (rape). RNAcentral describes it as "long non-coding RNA (BNAP_LNC000359)". The record is from RNAcentral. Lineage: Eukaryota; Viridiplantae; Streptophyta; Magnoliopsida; Brassicales; Brassicaceae.
GUAGAUACGGCUCACCAUUUGCUGCUUUCCUUGCUGUUGUCCCUGUUGCUGAAUUUGUUGUUUAACCGCUUUGGAUGCUCCUUUCAAGGUUGGGCAAACGCAAAGGGGCUCUUCCUGGUGGAGCUCGUUACAGCACUGCUGGAGUAGAGGCGGUCUCUGCUGUGGACCCUGGGGGUUCUCCAUGUCGUCUUCAAAGUCAAACUCACCGUCGAGGGUCCAGCUAGGACCACUGCCAGACUGCAUUGCUUGCUUGUGGAGCCACUGCUGGCAAGCUUUUAGGUGUUGUGCUUGCUGAAACUCCUUCCUACAUUUUGGAAUCCUAAAUGGGCCGGCUGGGUUUGUUGCAUCAUCUUCGUCGAACUCGACCACCGUCCGGUAGAUGGAGGCAUUGGUGAGAAGGAAGAAGAAGGCGAGAGUUGCCGAGACGAGGAAGAGCUUGUUCGCCAUUAGUGUAUGUUUUUAAUCUUGUUUGUAUUGAUGAGUUUUGGUUUGAGUAAAGAGUUAAGCGGAUGAGUUAAUUUAUAGGUGAUAAAGGAGAUUUGCAUGGCGAUCACGUGUAAUAAUGCAUGCACGCAUGUGAUUGUAUGUGUGUGCUGUGAGAGAGAAGCUCUUAGGUGUUUGAAGGGAGUGACAAGUGACGAACAAAAACAAUCCUCCGCGUCUGCAUGCUUUGUGUAACGUGUAGCUAAUGUUCUGGCAUGGCAUCUUAUGAGCGAUUCUUUUUAAAAACAAGGUAAAAACUUAACUUCAUAAAUUAAAAAAAAAACGUUUAGUAAGUUGGUUUAAAAGGGGACGAGAGUCUAAAAAUUUUGGAGGUAGUGCCGUUGGGAAUAUAAAUUGGGAGAGCUUAAUCAGAAUUAUAGAAGUUAAAGUUGAUUUAGUCACGGUCAAUAUAAAUUGGGAAUUUGAGUCAAAAUCUUCCAAAUUCGGAAUCCGUCUUGUUACACCCGGUGGUAGGAGCCGAACGGUUUGAAAAUACUUGAAAUGUGGAUGUACAGGCUGGUUUAAUUUUAUGUUGAAUGGAUACAUGUCAAUCGAAUUAUAGGUACACAUUUUACUCUAAUACUAAAAUGUAACAUUUGUCUCAUCCUUACUCAAGAAUGGUAGCUCAUCCUUACUCGAGAACGGUAUGCCAGUCACUUUAACGUAUAUCUCAUGAAACUCAACUCUAACACUUAUUUCAUACCCAUAUCUAAAAUAAAGAAAACUGAAGAAAAACGGUCAAUAGCAUCAAUCCUUACAAAUAUAAUGCACUUGGAAACCUCACAUGAAAAUAACAAUAAAGAGGAGGUGAAUAAUAUAAGUAGUCCGAAAUGAAGUCUAUGGACUUAGAAAUAACAUUCCAAAUAUAUAUAAUUUAAUCAUAACAUGAAACAAACACAACACCUGAAAUGACAUAGAACAAAUUAGGGACCUAGUUAUAAGAUAAAGACUGGCACACCUCUUUUUUUUUUUGUUCAACUACUGGCACACCUCUAAUAGAAGCUUUCCCUAUGGAGGAUUCAUGUAUGUGACUAGAACCCACACACCGCCCGAAAACGCUUUCUUUAUUGACCUCAUUUACUACAGCUCAACCUGUCGACUUAGCGAAGAGGAAGAGCAAAGAUCAAGCUAACUAAAUUAGGGCUCUUGUUUGAUGAAACUGAAUGAAUGAAUCGAGAGAUGAAUGAGAUCUUCAUAAGCGAAUUAAGAAUCGACAAGGAAAGUUGCCCAAUAAAUAUUUGACAUUUCUUAAUUUUAAGGCCAAUUGGGCCAGUAACAUAUGGUAUUUUGACAGAUAUAUAGAUCCCAGAAUAAAUACUGAAUCAGCAAAAAUGAAAUCAGAGAGCUAAACGCUGAAGAAUCCACAUCUGCGUUCAAACAGUUCAUCCUUUACCUCAAAUAAACAAACUGCCAAAUCUUUUAAAUAUCUCAAACGUAAACAAAAUAUGAAAAAGAGUCUUUGGGACAAACAAAUCAAAAUGGUCUUGACAGCAUAUUGACCCUUGUAUGAUUGAAAGCCACUGAGACCCUCCUGCCAUUAACACAUCAAAUCUUAUAGACACACUUUGAGAAAAUAAAAAUCGUGAGGCCAUCUCAGUGUUAGUGACUCGCCAUGAAGUAAAGGCAUACCAGGAGAGUUUUGUCAAAAAGACAUAAGCUUAUUAGAUAAUUGGAGGGUUUAACUCUUAUAUAUCAUGUGCAGAAUUUAAUUGGUCAACAAAGCAAAUGGAACCAUCCGAUAGAUGUUUUAAAGAACAAGAGGUACAUUUGUAUAUAUGCAUUGGUUGAUACGUUUCUGCCAUCUGAAUUGCUUCUUCCUCAAAGAAGAAGCAAUCACCGAUGAAUGCUAAAGGAUUCAGGUCUAUAUUUGGCUUCUACUAGGCUUGUCUCUACAGUAGACUUUAUUCACAAAUGCAAACAACUUCAAGCAAGGCAAGUGACAGGACAGAUAAUGCUUAGAGAAAGAGAAACCGUUGAAAAGAAGCAGAAAGCACAACUCCCUUCGACUAAUUAAUCUAGGAUUUGCACUGACCAUAUUACUUCAAAGAUAGUUCCAUUUCAAGAAACAUAAACAGAACUUGAAUGAGAAAAAUCUAUGAUCAAAUUCAAAGGGAAAUUUGCAAGAGUACAAAGACAGAUUCAGCAGCACCUAGAAAACCCCAAUUGAUCUGCGUAAAAUCCCAAUUCUCUCUUCUGUUUACAAAAAAAAAUCACGAUCCACACUCUUUUUUGAUUUUCAAAUCAAAACAAAUAAUCAGCCCUGAAUUAUACAGUAAAAUCCCGAUCAAAACGGGUUAAUAAUUUUAUGAAAUAAUACAAAAAAAAAGAAACAGAUUGAGAUCGGCAAAACCUCGAUCAAUCAAUCAAUCAAUCAAACAACAUCGUCCUUCUUGGGUUUCCGAUAAUUCUCUUCGAUGUGCUCGAGGAUGACGCGAACAGUGUUCGUCAGCUUCUUUACAUCGGGAACGUUGUAAUUCUGUGCAACGUAUACACCAUAAGCCGUUCCCAUCGUGAACACCAAGCAGCUCUUCAUUAUCCCCAUCCCCCUCUCUACGCUCCGUACUAGUGUUCUAUUUGCACUUGUACUAUGAUACUUUAAUGGGCCUUCAAUAUUUAUUUCUAAGGCCCAUAGUGGGCCCAAAUCAAAUGAAACCGGCAUGCUCAUUUCCGUUGGUAGACAGAUUAAGAUUAAGGGCCAGAUUGGUUCAAAUGCAGCGGUUGCGGUUGCGGAAGUUUGUGGAUGCGGACGGUUGCAGUUUCUAGCGGUUUUAAGAGAUUUGUACGACUGGUAGUGCGGUUAAAUAUUGGUGCGUUUGCGGGUGACUUAUGACUGGUUAACUACCAAAUGCGGUAACAGUCAAAUAAUAAAUUAACAAUAUUUAUAUUUAAUAUAAUUAUAAAAAUAUCAAAAAGUCAUAAAAUUAUAAUAAAUAUAAAAUUUAUAUUUAGAAAGUUAUAAUUUUAAUUAUUAAAAAUUUAUUAAAAUUGUUUUUAUUAUAAAAUUUUAUAAUAUUAAUUAAAAUAUAAUAGAUAUAUUUUAAUAUUUUCAUAAUUUCAAUUUUAUAUUUAAAAUAAAUAACUAAAGUUUGCUAUCCGAAAAAACUAUCGUUUGCUUUAUUCAAUUGUUUAUUUAAUAUGCCAUUUAAUUUAAUAUUUAAGAUAAAAGAGACCAAAUUUAUCAGAAAUGGUAAGUAAACCGUCCUAUCUUUAAAUUGGGCAAAUUAAUUGCUAUUAAAAUCCAAAAACAAAAAUUAGUAAAAAACUCAGAUUUGAACCCACUACCUGAAGCACUAGAGAACGAGUACGCAAACCCUACAAUGAUCAAGUUGUAAAUAUUUGUCACCCCAAAAUUAUAUAUAAAUUCUGGUGCCUAAAGCGUUUGCUUUGCGGGCUUUAGCCCAUGGCCCGGCCUGUGUACGAGUUAAGAUGAUUGAUCAAGUAAAUUAAACAUUAAGAGCCUCUCUUUUAUUAUGGAGUAGUGCUAAUUUUACAUUAGCCUCAAACAUCCUAGAUAAAACCUUACAUAUUAUUAUGAAACACGCGAUGAGGUGUGGUGUUGACAUAUAUCGACAACCACAUUCAUACACUCGAGGGUUUCGUUUGGAAUCUAGUAGGAGGGCCCAGGCAUGGUCUUCUGGAAGGGACAUACGCUAACUUGCGGGAUUUUGCAAACUUUAGGUAAGUGAGUAGCUGUCUGGUAGAUACGGCUCACCAUUUGCUGCUUUCCUUGCUGUUGUCCCUGUUGUUGAAUUUGUUGUUUAACCGCUUUGGAUGCUCCUUUCAAGGUUGGGCAAACGCAAAGGGGCUCUUCCUGGUGGAGCUCGUUACAGCACUGCUGGAGUAGAGGCGGUCUCUGCUGUGGACCCUGGGGGUUCUCCAUGUCGUCUUCAAAGUCAAACUCACCGUCGAGGGUCCAGCUAGGACCACUGCCAGACUGCAUUGCUUGCUUGUGGAGCCACUGCUGGCAAGCUUUUAGGUGUUGUGCUUGCUGAAACUCCUUCCUACAUUUUGGAAUCCUAAAUGGGCCGGCUGGGUUUGUUGCAUCAUCUUCGUCGAACUCGACCACCGUCCGGUAGAUGGAGGCAUUGGUGAGAAGGAAGAAGAAGGCGAGAGUUGCCGAGACGAGGAAGAGCUUGUUCGCCAUUAGUGUAUGUUUUUAAUCUUGUUUGUAUUGAUGAGUUUUGGUUUGAGUAAAGAGUUAAGCGGAUGAGUUAAUUUAUAGGUGAUAAAGGAGAUUUGCAUGGCGAUCACGUGUAAUAAUGCAUGCACGCAUGUGAUUGUAUGUGUGUGCUGUGAGAGAGAAGCUCUUAGGUGUUUGAAGGGAGUGACAAGUGACGAACAAAAACAAUCCUCCGCGUCUGCAUGCUUUGUGUAACGUGUAGCUAAUGUUCUGGCAUGGCAUCUUAUGAGCGAUUCUUUUUAAAAACAAGGUAAAAACUUAACUUCAUAAAUUAAAAAAAAAACGUUUAGUAAGUUGGUUUAAAAGGGGACGAGAGUCUAAAAAUUUUGGAGGUAGUGCCGUUGGGAAUAUAAAUUGGGAGAGCUUAAUCAGAAUUAUAGAAGUUAAAGUUGAUUUAGUCACGGUCAAUAUAAAUUGGGAAUUUGAGUCAAAAUCUUCCAAAUUCGGAAUCCGUCUUGUUACACCCGGUGGUAGGAGCCGAACGGUUUGAAAAUACUUGAAAUGUGGAUGUACAGGCUGGUUUAAUUUUAUGUUGAAUGGAUACAUGUCAAUCGAAUUAUAGGUACACAUUUUACUCUAAUACUAAAAUGUAACAUUUGUCUCAUCCUUACUCAAGAAUGGUAGCUCAUCCUUACUCGAGAACGGUAUGCCAGUCACUUUAACGUAUAUCUCAUGAAACUCAACUCUAACACUUAUUUCAUACCCAUAUCUAAAAUAAAGAAAACUGAAGAAAAACGGUCAAUAGCAUCAAUCCUUACAAAUAUAAUGCACUUGGAAACCUCACAUGAAAAUAACAAUAAAGAGGAGGUGAAUAAUAUAAGUAGUCCGAAAUGAAGUCUAUGGACUUAGAAAUAACAUUCCAAAUAUAUAUAAUUUAAUCAUAACAUGAAACAAACACAACACCUGAAAUGACAUAGAACAAAUUAGGGACCUAGUUAUAAGAUAAAGACUGGCACACCUCUUUUUUUUUUUGUUCAACUACUGGCACACCUCUAAUAGAAGCUUUCCCUAUGGAGGAUUCAUGUAUGUGACUAGAACCCACACACCGCCCGAAAACGCUUUCUUUAUUGACCUCAUUUACUACAGCUCAACCUGUCGACUUAGCGAAGAGGAAGAGCAAAGAUCAAGCUAACUAAAUUAGGGCUCUUGUUUGAUGAAACUGAAUGAAUGAAUCGAGAGAUGAAUGAGAUCUUCAUAAGCGAAUUAAGAAUCGACAAGGAAAGUUGCCCAAUAAAUAUUUGACAUUUCUUAAUUUUAAGGCCAAUUGGGCCAGUAACAUAUGGUAUUUUGACAGAUAUAUAGAUCCCAGAAUAAAUACUGAAUCAGCAAAAAUGAAAUCAGAGAGCUAAACGCUGAAGAAUCCACAUCUGCGUUCAAACAGUUCAUCCUUUACCUCAAAUAAACAAACUGCCAAAUCUUUUAAAUAUCUCAAACGUAAACAAAAUAUGAAAAAGAGUCUUUGGGACAAACAAAUCAAAAUGGUCUUGACAGCAUAUUGACCCUUGUAUGAUUGAAAGCCACUGAGACCCUCCUGCCAUUAACACAUCAAAUCUUAUAGACACACUUUGAGAAAAUAAAAAUCGUGAGGCCAUCUCAGUGUUAGUGACUCGCCAUGAAGUAAAGGCAUACCAGGAGAGUUUUGUCAAAAAGACAUAAGCUUAUUAGAUAAUUGGAGGGUUUAACUCUUAUAUAUCAUGUGCAGAAUUUAAUUGGUCAACAAAGCAAAUGGAACCAUCCGAUAGAUGUUUUAAAGAACAAGAGGUACAUUUGUAUAUAUGCAUUGGUUGAUACGUUUCUGCCAUCUGAAUUGCUUCUUCCUCAAAGAAGAAGCAAUCACCGAUGAAUGCUAAAGGAUUCAGGUCUAUAUUUGGCUUCUACUAGGCUUGUCUCUACAGUAGACUUUAUUCACAAAUGCAAACAACUUCAAGCAAGGCAAGUGACAGGACAGAUAAUGCUUAGAGAAAGAGAAACCGUUGAAAAGAAGCAGAAAGCACAACUCCCUUCGACUAAUUAAUCUAGGAUUUGCACUGACCAUAUUACUUCAAAGAUAGUUCCAUUUCAAGAAACAUAAACAGAACUUGAAUGAGAAAAAUCUAUGAUCAAAUUCAAAGGGAAAUUUGCAAGAGUACAAAGACAGAUUCAGCAGCACCUAGAAAACCCCAAUUGAUCUGCGUAAAAUCCCAAUUCUCUCUUCUGUUUACAAAAAAAAAUCACGAUCCACACUCUUUUUUGAUUUUCAAAUCAAAACAAAUAAUCAGCCCUGAAUUAUACAGUAAAAUCCCGAUCAAAACGGGUUAAUAAUUUUAUGAAAUAAUACAAAAAAAAAGAAACAGAUUGAGAUCGGCAAAACCUCGAUCAAUCAAUCAAUCAAUCAAACAACAUCGUCCUUCUUGGGUUUCCGAUAAUUCUCUUCGAUGUGCUCGAGGAUGACGCGAACAGUGUUCGUCAGCUUCUUUACAUCGGGAACGUUGUAAUUCUGUGCAACGUAUACACCAUAAGCCGUUCCCAUCGUGAACACCAAGCAGCUCUUCAUUAUCCCCAUCCCCCUCUCUACGCUCCGUACUAGUGUUCUAUUUGCACUUGUACUAUGAUACUUUAAUGGGCCUUCAAUAUUUAUUUCUAAGGCCCAUAGUGGGCCCAAAUCAAAUGAAACCGGCAUGCUCAUUUCCGUUGGUAGACAGAUUAAGAUUAAGGGCCAGAUUGGUUCAAAUGCAGCGGUUGCGGUUGCGGAAGUUUGUGGAUGCGGACGGUUGCAGUUUCUAGCGGUUUUAAGAGAUUUGUACGACUGGUAGUGCGGUUAAAUAUUGGUGCGUUUGCGGGUGACUUAUGACUGGUUAACUACCAAAUGCGGUAACAGUCAAAUAAUAAAUUAACAAUAUUUAUAUUUAAUAUAAUUAUAAAAAUAUCAAAAAGUCAUAAAAUUAUAAUAAAUAUAAAAUUUAUAUUUAGAAAGUUAUAAUUUUAAUUAUUAAAAAUUUAUUAAAAUUGUUUUUAUUAUAAAAUUUUAUAAUAUUAAUUAAAAUAUAAUAGAUAUAUUUUAAUAUUUUCAUAAUUUCAAUUUUAAUUUUUUUAUUAAAUAUUUUUACUUUUGUAUAUAUAUUGUUUAAAAAAAAAGAGAAAAAAUUAUCCUCCCGCAACCGCAAACGCUAGCUGGAGCCAACUUUUGAAUUUAUGAGAUUCAGAGCGGUUUGAAGUGGUUUAGAGCGAUUUGAGUGAUUGUUGCAAACCGCCGACAACCGCUACCAACCGCAAAAGCUGCGUUUGCGGGUGGUAGCGGGAAAACCAGUCACCCCAUCUUCUCGGUUCCUGAAAUCUUGUCUCUUUACUUGGGAUUUAAGACAUGAUCGACUGAUAGACAGAUUAAAUCUUCUCGGUUUGAUGCGUAUGUGAGACAUCUGUUUUUGAUGGUUGUCUGGUUGGGGUUGUUAUUGUACAUGUAGGCUUAUAAGGAAUGGCAAAGAGCACAUUCAAGGAAGAGCAUGACCUAGGUUUGGAUCCUACCUUUUUGUUCUCUUAGUUUUGUGUUUGAUUCUCAAGUAAACUUAUAACUUUUGGAUCUAAUGAUGAUUCUAUUUUCUGCCUUCAGAGAAAAGAAGUGUAGAGGCUGCUCGGAUUAGAGAGAAAUAUCCAGAUAGGAUUCCGGCGAGUGCUCAGUGUUUUACAUUACCUAAACACAUAUGUGAUUAGCAUAUUGUCUUCCUUUUCCAUGUUUGGACGAUCCCUUUGUGUUGCACUCAGCUUAAGCUCUUGUUAUGUUUCAUGGCCCAACAUCUAUAUCCUUUUUUUCUGUCUUGGGUGAUUAUGAACUUAUCAUAUCUUUGGCUAUAGUUUUGUAGAUAACAAUCUGGAUUUAUAUGUACUCCCAUUUAACAGUUGGUUAUUAACCUCUGAUUAGCCUCAUGCUUGUGAUAUUUUUAUAUUUGGGCACUGUAUCAACUCAACUACUGAACUUGUUUGAAUUCUAGUGUCAUAUUGGGAAGUGAUUAAUGAUUUUACAUGGUUACUUAAAAAGUAGUGACACUUGAGUGAUGAUCUUCACCCUUUUUUGUAUUUGUGUGGGAUCCGGGUGAUUGUUGAGAAGGGUGAGAAGAGUGAUAUACCAACCAUCGACAAGAAAAAUUAAGCAUAUUGAUUACUGUAAUCAAUAUACAUCUCCCUCGGACCUGACUUGUGAUUGACACAACUAAGCUUUUUAUCCUGGAUGCAGAUACCUAGUCCCAGCUGAUCUGACAGUGGGGCAGUUCGUGUAUGUCAUUCGCAAAAUAAUCAAACUGAGUGCAGAAAAGGCUAUCUUUAUCUUUGUCGACAAUGUUCUUCCUCCAACAGGUAGCACUGAUAAGCUCUUACUUACUGUGUAUUCAUGACUUCUUUAAUAUCAUCCUAAGACAUCUACUUUGAUAACUCUGGCAGGUGCGUUAAUGUCUGCUGUGUAUGAAGAGAAAAAGGAUGAUGAUGGUUUCCUCUAUGUCACUUACAGUGGAGAGAACACAUGUGGAUCUCCAUAGAGAUCUCUUGCUGGAUACUUCGUUUCUAUUUUACCUAUUUCGCCUGAGUAUUUCAUUUCUUAUUAUUAGUUAUCUAAGCAAAGCAGCCUAUGUACUACUUCUCUAAGAACUUUAAGAUGGCCGUUCAUGUGUACAGAGAACAUAAAAAUAAUGUAUAUAUAAUCUCAAAACCUACUUGAUUAUGUUUUCGAUUGACUUUCACUCAGUAAGCCGACAUAACAUGUUGCCGUGAGUGCCACUGUAGUUACAGAGGCAAAAAAGUCUUUAACUAAAUAGAACAGCAGUGGC